This 456-nucleotide ribosomal RNA is filed under the name uncultured Burkholderiales bacterium. Its description in RNAcentral is "bacterial SSU rRNA". It matches the Rfam family "Bacterial small subunit ribosomal RNA", at positions 8 to 464 of the family's 1533-position model. The record is from RNAcentral. Lineage: Bacteria; Pseudomonadati; Pseudomonadota; Betaproteobacteria; Burkholderiales.
AGAGUUUGAUCCUGGCUCAGAUUGAACGCUGGCGGCAUGCCUUACACAUGCAAGUCGAACGGCAGCACGGGGGCAACCCUGGUGGCGAGUGGCGAACGGGUGAGUAAUACAUCGGAACGUGUCCUGUAGUGGGGGAUAGCCCGGCGAAAGCCGGAUUAAUACCGCAUACGCUCUACGGAGGAAAGGGGGGGAUCUUAGGACCUCCCGCUACAGGGGCGGCCGAUGGCAGAUUAGCUAGUUGGUGGGGUAAAGGCCUACCAAGGCGACGAUCUGUAGCUGGUCUGAGAGGACGACCAGCCACACUGGGACUGAGACACGGCCCAGACUCCUACGGGAGGCAGCAGUGGGGAAUUUUGGACAAUGGGGGAAACCCUGAUCCAGCAAUGCCGCGUGUGUGAAGAAGGCCUUCGGGUUGUAAAGCACUUUUGUCCGGAAAGAAAACCUCCGCCCUAAUAU